GAGUUCUUCUUGAGCUGGCUGGGUUUCGCUAGCCAGCCGGCGAGUAACGACGACGUGAUCCGUCGUGACCGGGCACGAGGUUUCCUCAGUGGCCCCUUUUGUUCCCCACUCAGUUCUCCGCUUUUUCAGGCCGUCGCGGCUGGCCUGAGCGGUGACCUGGCGGGCCGCGCCUGCGCUCUGCCCCGUUUCCUGCCUGGCUGGUGGCGGCGGCCAUUUUGUUCAUCCUCCUCCUCCUCCAGCUCCUCCUGGUUGGAGCGCAGUGUCCGGAGCGGGCUGGGGGGAGAGAGCCCGAGAGCAGGGUUCGGUGCCUUUUCCUCUGUCCCCAGCCGGUGCCCGGAGCCCCCCUCCCCUUCCUCCCCACCCCCUCCCUUCCCCAGCCCUGCCCUCCCCCUUGUCCCGGGAUCGCUCCGUCGCACCCACCAUGAUGGAAGACGACGGGCAGCCCCGGACUCUAUACGUAGGUAACCUCUCCAGAGAUGUAACAGAAGUUCUUAUUCUUCAGUUAUUCAGUCAGAUUGGACCCUGUAAAAGCUGUAAAAUGAUAACAGAGUCAUGGGAUACAGUUUAUGAAGGAUUAUGAUGCAUAAGUAGAAUUCAUCCCUUUGAAAAUAAUGUUGGGAGAGAAGAGCAGUGCAACCCGAUAGCAGAAGGGUCAACUCUUCUGUUGGAUUUUCUGUUUUGCAGCAUACAAGCAAUGACCCAUAUUGCUUUGUGGAAUUUUAUGAACACAGAGAUGCAGCUGCUGCAUUAGCUGCUAUGAAUGGGAGAAAAAUUUUGGGAAAGGAGGUCAAAGUAAACUGGGCAACAACACCAAGUAGCCAGAAAAAAGAUACUUCCAAUCAUUUCCACGUGUUUGUUGGGGAUUUGAGUCCAGAAAUUACAACAGAAGAUAUCAAAUCAGCAUUUGCCCCCUUUGGUAAAAUAUCGUAAGUAUCAUAAUCAAUACUAUACCCAGUAGUGAUAGGCAAGAUUGUAUAUGAUUAACUUGUAUCAGAACUAAGAUUUUCUUUCCCUAGUUAGUGUGAUUUUUUUGUUUGUUUGUUUGGUUUGUUUUUUUGAUCAGUAGGUGUUGUUGAAAAUGUUAAUGUCAUUUCAGUGUUUUGGGGUCUUGUUUUCAUCUAAUCCUGUGUAUAACAUGUUAAAAAUUUUUAAGUAAUUCUGUUUGUUAUCUUUAAAGCAGAUGGUUGGGUGAUAAAACCUAUUAUAAAAUCUAGCUUUUUGUCAAAUGUUUUCAGAUUUUGGUGGUUAAAGAAAUGGGUUAAACAAAAAUAAAUGUGAUUUAUACUGUGUAUUAAACUUUUAUAGGAGUUUAUAAGUGGGGGAAGUAGGUAAAUUUUGGGGUGUGCUGUGGUGAAAUUAGAAAUGUAUAUGUUUAAUUAUAAUGAUAAAUGUGUUUUGAUAUUUUAGCUGAAAAAUAGCACUAUUACAGUAUUGAAAUGUUUUAAUGUCUGAGCCAUAAAUGUGGGAUUAAUCAGUAGAUUUUUUUUUUUUUUUUUUUUUUGUUAGUGGUAUUUGAUUCUGCUUGUUAGGGCCCAAUUGUGAUUUGAUUUUUUUUUAAACAAAGUUUAUGAUCAGAUUUCACUGUGUUACUUUAUCAACUAUAUUGGGAAAUUAAAAGUGGUUACAAGUUGAUAAAAUGUUUGUCAUAGUUUAUCUUUCUGAUUAAAAUCACUUUAUUUCCUGUGGAUUUAAAUUUAAUGUUUUAGUACUACUUUACAGAAAUGCUUCAACUAAGAACAACAAUACAUUUCUCUCUAUAAUUUGUUGUUCUAUAGAGUUUAUUGAUAGAUUUAAUUCUUAAUUUUCUAUUCUGAUAUUUGCUUUGCUUUUUAAUUUCUAAAUGUGGUAAGUAGUACUGUUUUAAAAAUCAAUAUAAAAAAUAAUAAAGGUUGCUGUUUUUCAAUCUUUAUUUAUACCUGAGACCUGCAGUUUUUCUGAAGUCCAAGUCACAAUUAAAAGUAAUAGCAUUCUGGUUAUUUUGCAGAAUUGCUCAUAAGAAUGGACAGGAUCUUGAAGGCUAACUGCAAGGAACUGUGCACACUGGAACUCAGUUGUAGAUUUUUUUCUCAUUUCUAUUUAUUCUUAUUAUACAUUAUUUAUAUAUACAUAUUUUAGUAUUUACAUUUUAACAUUCUAUAUUCAGUGGAGUUCUAUAUUUCCAAUCAUUUUAACUUACUCACUAAAAUUUCUGUGUAAAUUUGUUGUUUUCGUACUGGUGUGCUUAGCAUUGUUGUUAGUUUUUUAUUCUCCUUUCUUAAAUUUCUGAAAAUGUCAAUUUUUCAAAAUUUACAGCUGCCCAAACUCCAAAAUGAUGGUAGAGAAUUGACCAAGAAAAAUAAAGAAAUCUGUUAACAGGCCAUGGAUGCCCGAGUAGUUAAAGAUAUGGCAACUGGAAAAUCUAAAGGCUAUGGCUUUGUAUCUUUUUAUAACAAACUGGAUGCAGAAAAUGCAAUUGUGCAUAUGGGAGGUCAGUGGUUGGGUGGUCGUCAAAUCAGAACCAAUUGGGCCACACGUAAACCACCUGCACCUAAAAGUACACAAGAAAAUAACACUAAGCAGUUGAGAUUUGAAGAUGUAGUAAACCAGUCAAGUCCAAAAAAUUGUACUGUGUACUGUGGAGGAAUUGCUUCUGGGUUAACAGAUCAGCUUAUGAGACAGACAUUCUCACCAUUUGGGCAAAUUAUGGAAAUCAGAGUUUUUCCGGAGAAGGGCUAUUCAUUUGUCAGAUUUUCCACCCACGAAAGUGCAGCCCAUGCCAUUGUCUCAGUGAAUGGUACUACGAUCGAAGGACAUGUUGUUAAAUGCUAUUGGGGUAAAGAAUCUCCUGAUAUGACUAAAAACUUCCAACAGGUAAUUCGAUUUUUCAUAGCACUUUUUAAGGUUUCCAUCUUACAUAUCUACAUAAAAGCUUUAGAAACACCAUUUAAAAGAAAACAAAGUGAAAAACAACAACAAAAAAGCAUUUAGCUGCUUUCAGUUGAUUUUGUUAAUGCUAUUUCAAAAGUGAUUAUUUUGUGGUAUUAACUGAAUCUUAAUACUUUCUUUUCACAGGUGUCACCACCCCAAUAAACUUAGACAAUGAUAAAUAACAGAGUCCUAUUCACAUAAGGGUGCUUACUUAGUUUUUCUCUUCCUUGUCUCCCACUUUCUUCAAAUACUGUGUUUUCUUUCUUGUUCCCUAAAACAGUAAUUUGCUUUUUCCUAGGUCGACUAUAGUCAGUGGGGCCAGUGGAGCCAAGUUUAUGGAAAUCCACAACAGUAUGGACAGUAUAUGGCAAAUGGGUGGCAAGUACCACCUUACGGAGUAUACGGGCAGCCAUGGAAUCAACAAGGAUUUGGAGUAGAUCAAUCACCUUCAGCUGCUUGGAUGGGUGGAUUUGGUGCUCAGCCUCCCCAAGGACAAGCCCCUCCCCCUGUAAUACCUCCUCCCAACCAGGCUGGAUAUGGCAUGGCCAGUUACCAAACACAGUGAGCUGGGACUCUAAACAAAAUGUAAUUCAUGAUAGCUUCAGUUUCCUUGUGACAUUCUGAAGACAUGAAAGUAGACAUCGGAAAAUGAAAAUAUUUAUUUUAAAAAUUGAAAUGUUUGGAACCUUUAGCACAGCUUUGCUUUGGUGAAGGACACAUGUCUUCUAGUUCUGCCUUUUUAAGUUUUUGUUCAUGAUGGAUAUGAACAUGAUUUUUCUUUGUGUACAAAAACUAAAAUAAAGUCAAUAAAGACAAUUCUGACUACAAAUUUUGAUAUAAUAGGAGAAAUGGGUAAUACAUUUUGAUUCUUAGAUACUAUUCCAUUUUUAUCUUGCUGUUCAGUAUUUUAACUCACUGUGUUUUUAAAAGAGCAAAAAAGGGAGGAUUGUGAAAAACUGGGAAUAACAUAUGAGUUCAUCCUGAACCUUGAUAUUCCCUUCCCCUCCUCUGAGGUGGACCACAUUCGAAGUCAGCAGAAAAAAGUGUGACAUUGAGAAGAGAUGCAUGAUUUUGAAGUCGCUUUGGAGGAAGUACUUUCUCUGUGCCUAAAGAAACCGAAGCCAGACUGACAAAAGAAAUUUGCCAUCUAAAUAAGGGACAGCAUUGUUUCAGUUACUUGAGCAAAUGUUGGUGGUCCACAUUAAGACAUAUUUUUAAAACUUUAAAAAGUGUUGAUUAUUAAAGCUGUAGUGAAUUACAUUUCAUUUUGGGGGGAAAAUUCAAAGUAUGGUGUUUAUAUUAAAGUCAGUCAUACUUAUGCUUUUACAUGAAGUUUAAAUGAUAUACAUUGUAAAUAAUUGAAUACAGUGUUUAAAAAGCAUGCUUCAACAUAGAAGUAGCAGUAAUGUAAUUAUUUGAAGUAACACUUAACACACUCCACUGCAUUGAAUGCAAUGGAUGAAUAAGAAUGUUUAAGACUGACAUUUCCAAGGUUGGCUACUAUGUAAAAUUAAAAUUAUACAAAUUACUAUACAGAAAAAGCCUUAACUUUAAUUUCAUAUAAAUCUUUGAUUCAUUAGUACAUUUUAAAAUGUCAUUGAAAAUUAGAUUUUUUUUUCUUUUUUUGCUUUACAUCAGUUGGUAUGUAAAUACCUGGAUUAAAACCUUGUAAACCUAUUUCAAGGUUCCUAUAAGUUGUAAAGUACAACUGUUUUUUAAAAAAUCUUGGGGUGUUUUUUAAAAUUAGAUAUAUUUUGCCCAAGAAUUUUUUUAACAAAAUUGCUUAAAAAAAUCUUAGACACUUUGAUGUACCAAUUUAUAAUUGGAUACUCAAUUUACUAGUACACAGAGUUGUGACUUUUAUUUUUAAUUAAUUUUUUUCCUUGUGGGUAGUGUGCAUGGGAUGAUAAGCCUGAACAGAGGCUGAGUUGUAUGUGUGCAGAGUUAGUAAACGAAUUGAUUGGGUAGGUGUAUAUGAUUGAUGUUUGCUUUUGAGGUAUUUUUCAGGCCAUGUGGAUAAAAUCUGUCUCAAAUUUCUAUCGUAACAGGAAUGUAAAAGAGAUGAAAUCCUAUGUAUUUGAAUUCUGACAGCUAGGGGGUGCAAAUGUUUAGGCAGUGUAUUUGAAAUGUUUUGAGGCCUGAACACCAAAAUGAGAAAACUCUACAGUUAAGUAAUAAGAUGCAAAUAGCACCCACAAAAUACUAUUUUUUAAAUGUUUGAAGCUACAAUUUGCUUUAAAAUGAUGGUUUUAUAAAUUGGUGACCACAAUAAUUUUGGUAUUUUCCUUCUUCCCCCAUUUAGAAAUGUAUUAAACAUAAAAUUUUACAGGGUCUGAAGUUACUCAUUUUCAGGCCAAAUUUUUUAUGGCACUUUAGUUUUAACCACAGUACUCAUCUAUUAUUACACUCUUAUUUUAAAAUUUACCCUUAGUUUUUUUUGUUCAUGGUUAGCAUCUUUGGGGGAUGUUAUGGAAAAGUUACUUUAUAUUUUAUAAGGAGAACAUUCAAAUUAUAUCAGUUAUGCCUCCUAGUUAAACAUUUCUUAAACAUAUGGGAAACUUGAAUUAAAGAUUUUUUUUAAUAUAUAUUGAUAAAAGCCUAUUAAACUCUCAGUUUGCCUUUUUUGGUCUACCAGUAAAUUAAGUAGCUUAUUGCAGUACCAGCUAAAUAUAGCUUCAGUGUUUCCUGAUUGUAUGUUCUACAGUUUAAUAAAAUGACCCAGACCAGUAAUACUGCAUAGUAAACAUGACUGAAGUGUCCUUCAUCUUAAUCCGAAAGACCGAGACUACAUGCUCAGUUCAGGUGAUGGGAGUUUUUCAUAUUAAAUGGUUUUUAAAAUAUAAAGCUACUUAUCCAAAUGAAAUGCACCACUUUAAAAUACAACUGUCAAGCUAACGCAGACUGAAGACCAUAAUACAAACUGAAGUCAGUGCUAUCUUGAUCCAGUUUAAGCCUAAGAAUCGUUGCCUUUUCCAUGUUCCUUAAAAACAGCAGCAGAGAUUCUUUGGCAUGCAAGAAAAUGUUUAUUUCAUAAUCAUUUUCUGAUCUGAUUUAUAUUUGGUGAUGUGUUUCUGACUGCCAUCUCCCUUGCUCUAAUCUCUCUACUAGUAUUUCCCCUCCCAUGCCAUGACCACUUGAUUUUUAUGCCUGCUGGCAGUGAGAGGCUGAAAUGACUGGCCAACUUAAGCCAAAGCUGUAAACCACAGUUGAAGUAAGUCUUUCAAUAAAGACGAGACUAUAUAAGUGGCUUUUUCUUAUUGUCGUUUAUUACAUAAUUAUUCCUUCCAGGCUGCAAUUCCAUUUUAAGUUAUUAAUAAGGUAUGUAGAGUGUUUAUAUAUAUCCAGGACCUAUAUCUGUCUUUCGUGUAAGUGAUAAAAUCUGUUUACUUUGUUGGAUUAAAUUUAAUUUCUGGAUAUGGAGUAGAGAUUUGCAUCCUUCUAAAGACGUAUGCUCUGUUGAAUAUUAAUAUAGUAAGAGCUCAUUAGAGUCCACAAAUAAUAGGAACCAUCAUUUUACCAUUUCUAGAUUGAUCUUUGGUAGUACUUGUGAGUAAAGAUUGCAUUCAACAGACAAAGUAGAAAAAUUUAAUAUGUAGACAGACACUCUCUAGCAGGUAUACCCAAAUUUAAAUCUUAUCUAUUUAUUGAAAGUUAGCGUUUGGGCUUCCAUUUAAUAUGAUGUAAACAUUGAAUUUGCACUUUUAGUAUGUGUUAGAAAGAUGCAAAAAUUAUUUAGACUUUUAGUAUUAUGUAAGUUUCUCAAGAGGUCCAAAAGACCGGGUUUUGUUAAAUAUGAAUUCUGCUGCAUGUAAUGGUCAUCUGCUAAUGUCCAGUGUUGUUCAGGUGUAUCACAGUAAAUUAUGUUUCCGUCUAUUGCAUUUUUAAACUAGGAAGUGUCAGUAAUUACGACAUUUUAAAAAGGUGUUAUUCUAAACUGUAGUCUAAUAUGGUAUGCAAAUGCCAUGUUAGUAUGAAAAAUGGGCUUGUGCCUAUGUAAAUUGGGUCUGUUUUGGGGAAGAGGGAGGUCUGUUUUUUUGAAUUAGUGCAGAUACACUAGAAACUGUGAUUCACAAGGUACUCUGUGUAAGUACCUCUUUUAGGGACAAGAAAAACUUGAUUUUCGAAUUGCUCCAAUGUGAAAAGUUCAUUUUAUAUCUAGGAAAUAGACAAAGGGGAAAUUAAAUAUAUUUUUUUAUCUUAGGCAAAAAAGUGGGGGAGUAGGGGGUUUUAAUACUCAUUGAUCCUUUUGUUGAAGUAGGCUUUUGUCCUAGGGAAAAGAAUAUUAAUCUGUAUAACAUUCAUAGUUUGUUUUUUAAAUAAUGUGGCUUAGAGUAACAGCUGACAAUAAGUGUGUAUUCAAUAAGUUAUUUCCUUAGUGUUCCAACUCAGUUGUAAUACAUAUUGCUACAUUUGCAUUUUUCUAGAUUGUUGCUCUUUUCAAAAUUCAGUAACCACUGUUCCUCUGAGAUACUCCUCUGGGAAAAUGACCCGUGUCUAAUAUUUUGAAGUUGUCUGAGGUAAACCAGGUUUUGCUAUGUAUAAAACCAGCAGGUAUAACUUGUCCAACUGUGAUUUUUCUUUUUUCUUGUUCCUGUAUCUUUCUUCCUUGGGUUUUGGUAUACCAAUGAAGAGAAGUCCGAAACCGUCUGGACAAAAUGGGCAUGAAAUAUGUAGCCAUAUGUAACUGCCUGUUCUGAGAAUGGACUAUUUUGCAUAAAUUUCAGAUUCUCACAGUUGAUUUUACUGGUUAAGAGUUGUGAGUUGAAUUGUUCUAUAUAUAGGUGGUUUAUGUGAUUGCUUUUGCUCACAAAAAUAAAGCUAACUCAUAAGACUUAAUGUAGCUAAACAAAUGGAUUUAAUAAUCUUAGCUUCUUUUUGAAAAGAACUAAACUGGGAAAAACAUUUGUUAACUCAUUUCCUUUGGCUAUGUUAUAUUUCAGCACGUGGCCCAGCUCCUACUUGUUGAUAUGUUUAAUGAGAUUGGGAAAGGAGUGGUGGCUAGGUUAAUGAAGAAGGGAGAAGUCCUUGAUUCUGAAGAGCAUUGACAGGGGAAUAACAGUCCUGGGCAGAUGUAGUAAACCAUGCAGGAUAGUCAGGGUUUGGAUGCUGAUAAUUACUAUAUUAGCUUAAGCUAUGCACAUUUAUCAAGAAGACUGGGAGACUUAACGGGUGAUUGGAAAUAAAAUAUUACCAAUAUCUUUGUCU
Non-coding RNA from Sus scrofa (pig), 8112 nucleotides. The record is from RefSeq and is a predicted model, not a curated record. Lineage: Eukaryota; Metazoa; Chordata; Mammalia; Artiodactyla; Suidae.